Molecule: ribosomal RNA, 1343 nt
Filed under: uncultured bacterium
Lineage: Bacteria
Description: 16S ribosomal RNA
Rfam family: Bacterial small subunit ribosomal RNA
Source: RNAcentral
GACGAACGCUGGCGGCGUGCUUAACACAUGCAAGUCGAACGGAAAGGCCCUGCUUUUGUGGGGUGCUCGAGUGGCGAACGGGUGAGUAACACGUGAGUAACCUGCCCUUGACUUUGGGAUAACUUCAGGAAACUGGGGCUAAUACCGGAUAGGAGCUCCUGCUGCAUGGUGGGGGUUGGAAAGUUUCGGCGGUUGGGGAUGGACUCGCGGCUUAUCAGCUUGUUGGUGGGGUAGUGGCUUACCAAGGCUUUGACGGGUAGCCGGCCUGAGAGGGCGACCGGCCACAUUGGGACUGAGAUACGGCCCAGACUCCUACGGGAGGCAGCAGUGGGGAAUAUUGCACAAUGGGCGGAAGCCUGAUGCAGCAACGCCGCGUGCGGGAUGACGGCCUUCGGGUUGUAAACCGCUUUCGCCUGUGACGAAGCGUGAGUGACGGUAAUGGGUAAAGAAGCACCGGCUAACUACGUGCCAGCAGCCGCGGUGAUACGUAGGGUGCGAGCGUUGUCCGGAUUUAUUGGGCGUAAAGGGCUCGUAGGUGGUUGAUCGCGUCGGAAGUGUAAUCUUGGGGCUUAACCCUGAGCGUGCUUUCGAUACGGGUUGACUUGAGGAAGGUAGGGGAGAAUGGAAUUCCUGGUGGAGCGGUGGAAUGCGCAGAUAUCAGGAGGAACACCAGUGGCGAAGGCGGUUCUCUGGGCCUUUCCUGACGCUGAGGAGCGAAAGCGUGGGGAGCGAACAGGCUUAGAUACCCUGGUAGUCCACGCUGUAAACGGUGGGUACUAGGUGUGGGGUCCAUUCCACGGGUUCCGUGCCGUAGCUAACGCUUUAAGUACCCCGCCUGGGGAGUACGGCCGCAAGGCUAAAACUCAAAGGAAUUGACGGGGCCCCGCACAAGCGGCGGAGCAUGCGGAUUAAUUCGAUGCAACGCGUAGAACCUUACCUGGGUUUGACAUGGAUCGGGAGUGCUCAGAGAUGGGUGUGCCUCUUUUGGGGUCGGUUCACAGGUGGUGCAUGCCUGUCGUCAGCUCGUGUCGUGAGAUGUUGGGUUAAGUCCCGCAACGAGCGCAACCCUUGUUCACUGUUGCCAGCACGUUAUGGUGGGGACUCAGUGGAGACCGCCGGGGUCAACUCGGAGGAAGGUGGGGAUGACGUCAAGUCCUCAUGCCCCUUAUGUCCAGGGCUUCACGCAUGCUACAAUGGCUGGUACAGAGAGUGGCGAGCCUGUGAGGGUGAGCGAAUCUCGGAAAGCCGGUCUCAGUUCGGAUUGGGGUCUGCAACUCGACCUCAUGAAGUCGGAGUCGCUAGUAAUCGCAGAUCAGCAACGCUGCGGUGAAUACGUUCCCGGG